CUGGCUCAGGAUGAACGCUAGCUACAGGCUUAACACAUGCAAGUCGAGGGGCAGCGGGAAGGAAGCUUGCUUCUUUGCCGGCGACCGGCGCACGGGUGAGUAACGCGUAUCCAACCUGCCCGCGGCUCAGGGAUAGCCUCGUGAAAACGAGAUUAAUACCUGAUGGUCUUGGAGGCUGACAUCGGUUUCCAAGUAAAGAUUUAUCGGCAGCGGAUGGGGAUGCGUUCCAUUAGGUUGUUGGCGGGUAACGGCCCACCAAGCCGACGAUGGAUAGGGGUUCUGAGAGGAAGGUCCCCCACAUUGGAACUGAGACACGGUCCAAACUCCUACGGGAGGCAGCAGUGAGGAAUAUUGGUCAAUGGGCGAGAGCCUGAACCAGCCAAGUAGCGUGAAGGGAUGACUGCCCUAUGGGUUGUAAACCUCUUUUAUACGGGAAUAAAAUGCGCCACGUGUGGUGUUUUGCAUGUACCGUAAGAAUAAGCAUCGGCUAAUUCCGUGCCAGCCGCUGC
This 509-nucleotide ribosomal RNA is filed under the name uncultured bacterium. RNAcentral's name for it is "bacterial SSU rRNA". It matches the Rfam family "Bacterial small subunit ribosomal RNA", at positions 19 to 518 of the family's 1533-position model. The record is from RNAcentral.